AUACGUAGGGGGCGAGCGUUGUCCGGAAUGAUUGGGCGUAAAGGGCGCGUAGGCGGCCCGGUAAGUCUGGAGUGAAAGUCCUGUUUUUAAGAUGGGAAUUGCUUUGGAUACUGUCGGGCUUGAGUGCAGGAGAGGUAAGUGGAAUUCCCAGUGUAGCGGUGAAAUGCGUAGAGAUUGGGAGGAACACCAGUGGCGAAGGCGACUUACUGGACUGUAACUGACGCUGAGGCGCGAAAGUGUGGGGAGCAAACAGGAUUAGAUACCCUGGUAGUCCACACUGUAAACGAUGAAUGCUAGGUGUAGGGGGUAUCGACCCCUUCUGUGCCGCAGUCAACACGAUAAGCAUUCCGCCUGGGGAGUACGGCCGCAAGGUUGAAACUCAAAGGAAUUGACGGGG
RNAcentral lists this ribosomal RNA (397 nucleotides) under uncultured bacterium. Its description in RNAcentral is "partial 16S ribosomal RNA". It matches the Rfam family "Bacterial small subunit ribosomal RNA", at positions 523 to 918 of the family's 1533-position model. The record is from RNAcentral.